AUGGACGGGUCUAAAUCUAAUGCUGAAGAAGAUGACUAUCAUGUGAUAGGAGAUCUAAGAUCACCAAAGAUUCCAAGGAGAAGUCCUGAUGGUUCCAAGGAUAGGGAUUUUGAUAGGAGGGAGAGAGAGGACAGGAAAGGUUGGGACUCUUCAAGAAGUGAAACUUCUGCAGACAUGGCUGAUACAAGAGAUGGUGGUUAUUCUUCUGACCAUAAUAAGCACGGCAGGGAAACAGAGAUGAUCCACGACCACGCAGAUGAGUCGGGAGGAAUUAGAAAAGGUGUAGACUCUAGUAGUUCAAGGGGCGGGAGAUCCGAUGAGGAUAUCAAUGAGAGGAGGGGAUCUGCUAUGGCUGAGAACAUCAAUGAAGAUAGCAGAUCAGUGGAUCAAAGUCAUCAAAAGGAAGAGAUUCUUGGGCAUACAGUGGAGUACGGACAUGAAAGCAAGGGUGGUGUGGAAAAAGUGGAGACAUCACCCAGAGUGGGUAACGAUGGAUGGGAGUCAUCAGGGGAUAGAAGGAAUAGAGACGCUCCACCUUCACAAAUACCAGAUACACCAGACAGAGGGAGAGACAGCAGUUGGAAUGUGAAAACACAAGAGGUUGAAGGAUCUGAGCAGUACAGUAGGAGCCGUCAAUUGCGAGAUCCUAAAGAGGCAAAUGUUUCUGAAUGGAGGAGCACACAGGAAAGGUUAGAUGGCACGAGUUUUCAUGGUCGGGCUGGGUACCGGCAGGAUUCCAGGGGUAGAUCUGAAAGUUUCAGAGGUUCUUCAACCUAUGGAAAUCGGUAUGACAGGUCUGAUUCAAUAGAGAUCAGGCCAAAUAGCAAUUUUGAUUUUGGGCGAGAAGGCUCUGUUUCUGGAAGAAGAUCUGAUGUGGGAGCUCCUGGAACGACUGAUGAUAGUAGUACCAAUCAUCCUGAAGCAGAUCAAAGUGGUGGCACCAGCAUGGUUUCUCCAUUUACUCAGCAAGGGCCUAAAGGUGAUAGAUCCUCUAGAGGAAGGGGGAGGCCAAAUGGAAGGGAUUCUCAGAGAAUUGGAGUUCCGGUGCCACUUAUGCCGCCACCUUCAUUUGGUGCACUCACCCUGCCACCAGGGCAAAUGCAACACAUGGGGCCAAAUAUUCCCCAUUCUCCAGGCCCUCCUCUUCUACCUGGUGUUUUCAUGCCGCCGUUUCCUGGACCUAUGGUGUGGCCUGGAGCAGGAGGUGUUGAUGUCAACAUGCUCUCUGUUCCACCUAACCUUCACAUCCCUCCUCCAGUUGCUGGCGAGCAUAGGUUCACUCCAAGUAUGGGAGCUGGACCUGUUCAUAAUGUUCACUUAAAUCAAAUGGGCCCAGGAAUGGGUACUCCAACGAAUAUGUCAGGAUUGGGUUUUAACCAGAUGAGCACACAAAAUCGUGAAAUGGCACAUGAUAAGCCAUCUGGUGGUUGGGUGCCACAUAGGCAUGGUGCACCGAUCAGAAAAGCUCCUUCAAGGGGUGAACAGAAUGAUUACUCUCAGAACUUUGUGGACACUGGCAUGCGACCUCAAAACUUCAUUAGAGAAUUGGAUCUUACAAGUGUAGCGGAGGACUAUCCAAAAUUGAGAGAACUCAUACAGAGGAAGGAUGAAAUUGUUACUAACGCUGCUUCACCACCGAUGUAUUUUAAGUGUGAUCUACGGCAACAUGUUCUUUCUCCAGAAUUUUUUGGUACAAAGUUUGAUGUUAUUCUUGUGGAUCCACCAUGGGAAGAGUAUGUUCAUCGUGCACCAGGAAUAACAGAUCAUAUUGAAUAUUGGAAUGCUGAGGAGAUUAUGAAUUUGAAGAUUGAGGCUAUAGCUGAUACCCCCUCUUUUCUCUUCCUUUGGGUUGGUGAUGGCGUAGGUCUUGAACAAGGCCGUCAAUGUUUGAAGAAGUGGGGAUUUCGUAGGUGUGAGGAUGUUUGCUGGGUGAAAACCAACAAGAAAAAUGCAUCAUCAGGUCUGCGACAUGAUUCUCGUACAUUGUUGCAGCAUUCAAAGGAGCAUUGUUUGAUGGGUAUAAAAGGAACGGUACGCCGUAGCACUGAUGGUCAUGUCAUCCAUGCGAAUAUUGACACUGAUAUAAUAAUAGCUGAAGAACCCACUGAUGGUUCAACGAAGAAACCUGAUGACAUGUACAGGAUCAUUGAGCAUUUUGCUCUUGGAAAGAGGCGCCUUGAACUCUUUGGCGAGGAUCAUAACAUUCGGCCUGGCUGGCUUACUCUUGGGAAAGACUUAUCAUACUCCAACUUCAACAAAGAGGCGUAUAACAAGAACUUCGCGGACAGCGAUGGGAAGGUGUGGCAGGGAGGCGGCGGUCGGAACCCUCCCCCUGGCGCUCCGCACCUGAUCGUGACGACUCCAGAGAUCGAGGGGCUCAGGCCCAAGUCACCCCCGCCGAAGAACUGA
This 2409-nucleotide ribosomal RNA is filed under the name Triticum aestivum (bread wheat). RNAcentral's name for it is "partial small subunit ribosomal RNA". The record is from RNAcentral. Lineage: Eukaryota; Viridiplantae; Streptophyta; Magnoliopsida; Poales; Poaceae.